AUUGAACGCUGGCGGCAUGCUUUACACAUGCAAGUCGAACGGUAACAGGGUGCUUGCACCGCUGACGAGUGGCGAACGGGUGAGUAAUGCGUUGGAGCGUGCCGAGUAGUUGGGGAUAACGCAGCGAAAGUUGCGCUAAUACCGCAUACGUACUGAGGUAGGAAGUGGGGGACCUUAGGGCGUCACGCUUUUAGAGCGGCUGACGUCUGAUUAGCUAGUAGGUGAGGUAAAGGCUCGCCUAGGCGACGAUCAGUUUCGGGUCUGAGAGGAUGAUCCGCCACACUGGGACUGAGACACGGCCCAGACUCCUACGGGAGGCAGCAGUGGGGAAUUUUGGACAAUGGGCGAAAGCCUGAUCCAGCCAUGCCGCGUGUCUGAAGAAGGCCUUCGGGUUGUAAAGGACUUUUGUCAGGGAGGAAAUCCCUAGUGCUAAUAACACUGGGGGAUGACAGUACCUGAAGAAUAAGCACCGGCUAACUACGUGCCAGCCGCCGCGGUAA
RNAcentral lists this ribosomal RNA (500 nucleotides) under uncultured bacterium. Its description in RNAcentral is "partial 16S ribosomal RNA". It matches the Rfam family "Bacterial small subunit ribosomal RNA", at positions 30 to 523 of the family's 1533-position model. The record is from RNAcentral.